RNAcentral lists this ribosomal RNA (1962 nucleotides) under human gut metagenome. RNAcentral's name for it is "bacterial LSU rRNA". It matches the Rfam family "Bacterial large subunit ribosomal RNA", at positions 1 to 1977 of the family's 2925-position model. The record is from RNAcentral.
UUAAGUGAAUAAGGGCGCACGGUGGAUGCCUUGGCACUAGGAGCCGAUGAAGGACGGGACUAACACCGAUAUGCUUUGGGGAGCUGUAAGUAAGCUAUGAUCCAGAGAUUUCCGAAUGGGGGAACCCAAUAUCUUUUAUAGGAUAUUACUUUUCAGUGAAUACAUAGCUGAUUAGAGGUAGACGCAGAGAACUGAAACAUCUUAGUACCUGCAGGAAGAGAAAGAAAAUUCGAUUCCCUGAGUAGCGGCGAGCGAAACGGGAAGAGCCCAAACCAACAAGCUUGCUUGUUGGGGUUGUAGGACUCCGAUAUGGUAGUCUGUUAGUAUAGUUGAAGGAUUUGGAAAAUUCCGCUAAAGAGGGUGAAAGCCCCGUAGACGAAAUGCUGACAACACCUAGGAGGAUCCUGAGUACGGCGGAACACGAGAAAUUCCGUCGGAAUCCGCGGGGACCAUCCCGCAAGGCUAAAUACUCCCUAGUGACCGAUAGUGAACCAGUACCGUGAGGGAAAGGUGAAAAGCACCCCGGAAGGGGAGUGAAAUAGAUCCUGAAACCGUGUGCCUACAACAAGUCAAAGCUCGUUAAUGAGUGAUGGCGUGCCUUUUGUAGAAUGAACCGGCGAGUUACGAUUGCAUGCGAGGUUAAGUCGAAGAGACGGAGCCGCAGCGAAAGCGAGUCUGAAUAGGGCGAAUGAGUAUGUAGUCGUAGACCCGAAACCAUGUGAUCUACCCAUGUCCAGGUUGAAGGUGCGGUAAAACGCACUGGAGGACCGAACCCACGUACGUUGAAAAGUGCGGGGAUGAGGUGUGGGUAGCGGAGAAAUUCCAAACGAACUUGGAGAUAGCUGGUUCUCUCCGAAAUAGCUUUAGGGCUAGCCUCGGAAUUGAGAAUGAUGGAGGUAGAGCACUGUUUGGACUAGGGGCCCAUCUCGGGUUACCGAAUUCAGAUAAACUCCGAAUGCCAUUCAUUUAUAUCCGGGAGUCAGACUGCGAGUGAUAAGAUCCGUAGUCGAAAGGGAAACAGCCCAGACCACCAGCUAAGGUCCCAAAAUAUAUGUUAAGUGGAAAAGGAUGUGGGGUUGCACAGACAACUAGGAUGUUGGCUUAGAAGCAGCCACCAUUUAAAGAGUGCGUAAUAGCUCACUAGUCGAGUGACCCUGCGCCGAAAAUGUACCGGGGCUAAACAUAUUACCGAAGCUGUGGACUACACCAUUAGGUGUAGUGGUAGGAGAGCGUUCUAAGGGCGUUGAAGGUCGAUCGUGAGGACGGCUGGAGCGCUUAGAAGUGAGAAUGCCGGUAUGAGUAGCGAAAGACAGGUGAGAAUCCUGUCCACCGUAUGACUAAGGUUUCCUGGGGAAGGCUCGUCCGCCCAGGGUUAGUCGGGACCUAAGCCGAGGCCGAUAGGCGUAGGCGAUGGACAACAGGUUGAUAUUCCUGUACCAGUUGUUUUUGUUUGAGCAAUGGAGGGACGCAGUAGGCUAAGGAAUGCAUGCGAUUGGAAGUGCAUGUCCAAGCAAUGAGUCUUGAGUAGAGUUAAAUGCUUUACUCUUUAAGGACAAGUUGUGACGGGGAGCGAAAUAAUAGUAGCGAAGUUCCUGAUGUCACACUGCCAAGAAAAGCUUCUAGUGAGAAAACAACUGCCCGUACCGUAAACCGACACAGGUAGUCGAGGAGAGUAUCCUAAGGUGAGCGAGCGAACUCUCGUUAAGGAACUCGGCAAAAUGACCCCGUAACUUCGGGAGAAGGGGUGCUGACUUCGGUCAGCCGCAGUGAAUAGGCCCAAGCGACUGUUUAUCAAAAACACAGGUCUCUGCAAAAUCGUAAGAUGAAGUAUAGGGGCUGACGCCUGCCCGGUGCUGGAAGGUUAAGAGGAUGGGUUAGCUUCGGCGAAGCUCAGAAUUGAAGCCCCAGUAAACGGCGGCCGUAACUAUAACGGUCCUAAGGUAGCGAAAUUCCUUGUCGGGU